GCCCACCACCCCCAUUCAGAUGCCUGUGUCAUGCUGCAUUUCUUCCUAGAGGAGAAAAAUGUCCAUUCAAUCUUCAAAUGGUAAAUUACUUGACACUGCCACUCUUAACUGUUGCACGGGACAAACUUUCAGACUCCUGUAAAACGCCUAGUUUUGACUUCUCAUUUUCUGCUGACCUCUUCAUUUCUAUCUCAAGCUGCUUGCAGUUUUCCUCGUGGGCUUUGUUGAACAAUCUCACAAAAUUAAGCAUAGUUGAAACAACUUGUUCAAAGGUACAACGUGCUGGAUCUUCUCCAAAAUAAAGAAUCAAUGCAUCCACAUUUCUACCCACUCCAGAGUACAAAGAAGCCAAAGACCUCACUUCAGCCUCAGCAAAACGAAGGAACUCCUUUAAAAUCUUACGAAAAUUCUCUGAUAUAGGACCAUCACUUUCAGAGGUUGAAAGUUCCUGUACAACCUUUUCUAAUCCUUUGCUUACAGCUUGCAUUUCCUCUGCCAAAAAUUUAAGUUGUACCUUUGAUGCAGGUUCCAAACUGGCAAGAUCUUUUGAAAAAUCUAGAAGUUCCGGUAAUUUGUCAACAAGCACCUUACAAAGAUAAUGCAGGAGAGUCAUCUUGUUAUUCCUUGCUCGUGUCUCAGUUAGUUUGAGAAGAC
RNAcentral lists this unclassified non-coding RNA (654 nucleotides) under Hevea brasiliensis (rubber tree). The record is from RNAcentral. Lineage: Eukaryota; Viridiplantae; Streptophyta; Magnoliopsida; Malpighiales; Euphorbiaceae.